This 222-nucleotide RNase P RNA is filed under the name Acidimicrobiales bacterium. RNAcentral describes it as "partial RNase P RNA component class A". It matches the Rfam family "Bacterial RNase P class A", at positions 1 to 215 of the family's 367-position model. Rfam says of the family: Ribonuclease P (RNase P) is a ubiquitous endoribonuclease, found in archaea, bacteria and eukarya as well as chloroplasts and mitochondria. Lineage: Bacteria; Bacillati; Actinomycetota; Acidimicrobiia; Acidimicrobiales. The record is from RNAcentral.
UGAGUCGGCUGGAUGGUCGCGGCCCGGCAUCGACCGGGUCGAGGAAGGUCGGGGCUCCGUAGGGCAGGGUGCUCGCUCGCGGCGAGUCGGGGCGACCCGCAGGAAAGUGCCACAGAGAACAGACCGCCGAUGGCCGGCCUCCGGGCCGGCACAGGCAAGGGUGAAACGGUGCGGUAAGAGCGCACCGCCCCGACCGUAAGGAAGGGGGCAUGGCAAGCCCCA